Molecule: ribosomal RNA, 253 nt
Filed under: uncultured bacterium
Lineage: Bacteria
Description: partial 16S ribosomal RNA
Rfam family: Bacterial small subunit ribosomal RNA
Source: RNAcentral
UACGUAGGUGUCGAGCGUUGUCCGGAUUUAUUGGGCGUAAAGAGCCCGCAGGCGGCUUGGCAAGUUUGAGGUGAAAUCUCCCGGCUUAACUGGGAGGGGGCCUCGAAAACUGCCAGGCUUGAGGCAUGGAGAGGGAUGCGGAAUUCCCGGUGUAGUGGUGAAAUGCGUAGAUAUCGGGAGGAACACCAGUGGCGAAGGCGGCAUCCUGGCCAUGUCCUGACGCUCAGGGGCGAAAGCGUGGGUAGCAAACAGG